Molecule: ribosomal RNA, 424 nt
Filed under: uncultured bacterium
Lineage: Bacteria
Description: bacterial SSU rRNA
Rfam family: Bacterial small subunit ribosomal RNA
Source: RNAcentral
GGGCCCGCACAAGCGGUGGAUCAUGUGGUUUAAUUCGAUGCAACGCGAAAAACCUUACCUACCCUUGAAAUCCAGCGAAGUUCUUAGAGAUAAGAAUGUGCCUUCGGGAACGCUGUGACAGGUGUUGCAUGGCUGUCGUCAGCUCGUGUCGUGAGAUGUAUGGUUAAGUCCAGUAACGAGCGCAACCCCUAUCCUUAUUUGCCAGCGCAUAAUGGCGGGAACUAUAAGGAGACUGCCGGUCAUAAACCGGAGGAAGGCGGGGACGAUGUCAAGUCAUCAUGGCCCUUAUGGGUAGGGCUACACACGUGAUACAAUGGGUGGUACAGAGGGUUGCCAAAGCGCGAGCUGGAGCCAAACCCUUAAACCAUUCUUAGUCCGGAUUGGAGUCUGCAACUCGACUCCAUGAAGUCGGAAUCGCUAGUAA